RNAcentral lists this unclassified non-coding RNA (284 nucleotides) under plant metagenome. RNAcentral's name for it is "partial contains small subunit ribosomal RNA, internal transcribed spacer 1, and 5.8S ribosomal RNA". The stretch from base 1 to 53 matches the Rfam family "Eukaryotic small subunit ribosomal RNA", at positions 1779 to 1831 of the family's 1831-position model. The record is from RNAcentral.
GAAGUAUAAGUCGUAACAAGGUUUCCGUAGGUGAACCUGCGGAAGGAUCAUUAUUGUAUAACCGAGGUGCGAGGGCUGUCGCUGACCCGAAAGGUCGUGCACGCCCGAGUGCCCUCACACACAUCCAUCUCACCCCUAUGUGCACCACCGCGUGGGUCCCCCUUUGGCUUGUUCGGAGGGGGGCUUACGUUUUCACACAAACUUUGUAUGCAGUGUAGAAUGUAUUUUUUGUUUUUGCGAUCACGCAAUCAAUACAACUUUCAACAACGGAUCUCUUGGCUCUC